This 429-nucleotide ribosomal RNA is filed under the name bacterium. Its description in RNAcentral is "partial 16S ribosomal RNA". It matches the Rfam family "Bacterial small subunit ribosomal RNA", at positions 355 to 776 of the family's 1533-position model. The record is from RNAcentral.
UAGGGAAUCUUCCACAAUGGACGCAAGUCUGAUGGAGCAACGCCGCGUGAGUGAAGAAGGUUUUCGGAUCGUAAAGCUCUGUUGUUGGUGAAGAAGGAUAGAGGUAGUAACUGGCCUUUAUUUGACGGUAAUCAACCAGAAAGUCACGGCUAACUACGUGCCAGCAGCCGCGGUAAUACGUAGGUGGCAAGCGUUGUCCGGAUUUAUUGGGCGUAAAGCGAGCGCAGGCGGAAGAAUAAGUCUGAUGUGAAAGCCCUCGUCUUAACCGAGGAACUGCAUCGGAAACUGUUUUUCUUGAGUGCAGAAGAGGAGAGUGGAACUCCAUGUGUAGCGGUGGAAUGCGUAGAUAUAUGGAAGAACACCAGUGGCGAAGGCGACUCUCUGGUCUGCAACUGACGCUGAGGCUCGAAAGCAUGGGUAGCGAACAGG